This is a long non-coding RNA of Labeo rohita (rohu), 560 nucleotides long. RefSeq lists it as uncharacterized. The record is from RefSeq and is a predicted model, not a curated record. The transcript has 3 exons. NCBI's taxonomy places the organism in Eukaryota, Metazoa, Chordata, Actinopteri, Cypriniformes, Cyprinidae.
UCUCGCACACACACCAGCUGUACCUGAGAACUGGAUGAGCCAAGACACAACAAACUACUGAAGUAUCAAGUGGAAACAGGAUACAGAAGGCAGAAGCUGAGCAAAACCUGAGGAAAGAAACAGUCAUCAGUAAACGCUUUCUUCAAAACACUGCAAAUGGGAAAUAAAAACUCUGGUAACAGUGGGAAUCAUCAAAGUGCUAGACCAGUGGUUUAUGAUUAUGAAAAAACUAUAUUAAGAGAAGAACUUAAUAAAGCGCAACGUGAAAUUGAAUAUGAGAGAAAUAUACGGAAAUCGAGAGAAGAAGAGAAGAGGAGAAUCGACAUUGCGAACAGGGCUAAAGAGGAAGAAGAAAGGAAAAGAAUUUGCAAAGAGAAGCAAAAUGCAUAAACAAACAAGACAGUCUGUGAAUCCGUAUUUAUGGUUUAUUAAAGGAAGUUAUUUUUAAUUUCUAUUCAUCCUACAAAAGAUACAUGUACAUCACCUAAAACACUGUGAAGAUUUUACUUUUCUUCUUCCAUAUGUCUGCUGUAAAGCACUUUCUAAACUUUUGGUUUUAA